Molecule: long non-coding RNA, 717 nt
Organism: Amphiprion ocellaris (clown anemonefish)
Lineage: Eukaryota; Metazoa; Chordata; Actinopteri; Pomacentridae
Exons: 2
Source: RefSeq, a predicted model, not a curated record
AUGGGUAUUAAACUUUCUUUCAAAGCCGACAGGAGCUGGGUCUUUAAAAUCACCGCCGUCUCAUUACAGAGUGAAAGCAGCAGUUCCUCCUUAAGGUCAGAGAUUGCAGCAUCUGAGGGCCUCUUCAAAAGAAGACGUAGUUGAUGAAGGCGUUCUGGAGCAGGACCAGAAAGACCACGACCAAGCAGCCUUGAGAUCUUUGGCAGCGUCUCCCUCAGGUCCCUCUCUAUCUCCCCAGACAUCCACCAACCACUGGAACACAUCUCCAAAGUUCUGCUGGGCCAGCUCAGCUUCCCCUCAGAAGAAGUUCCGCCAGAUGAAGGAGCCUUUUGAGAGGCAGCUGGCAUCGUGAUUGGACUGUACUUUGGUCUGUUCCAAUCCAGCUUCAGCUCCAGAGACGGCAGGCGGGACGAGUCAACGGAGGCCUGGUGGACGAAGGCAUGCAGCUGAGUACAAUCCAGAAAACAACAGAGGAGGAGUGCAGCGGCCCAGGGCCAGAACAAACAGAGUAGCAUCAUAUGUCUCUUAGAAAACAUCAUAGUAUAGCCUUUGGUAUGAAAAAAACGCCAUCAUAUACAUCGUAUAUUGUACAAAUAACAAGUCAAAGGAAAGAGACAUACAUUGUAGAAUUGUAGUAAUUGUGGGCUGACUGAUUUACUGAUUAUCAGUAUUUUAUUUUUUACUGAUUUACGGUAAUAAAUACAUUUAAAAAUGGCA